AUUGAACGCUGGCGGCAUGCCUUACACAUGCAAGUCGAACGGCAGCACGGGUGCUUGCACCUGGUGGCGAGUGGCGAACGGGUGAGUAAUACAACGGAACAUGUCCUGUAGUGGGGGAUAGCCCGGCGAAAGCCGGAUUAAUACCGCAUACGAUCUACGGAUGAAAGCGGGGGACCUUCGGGCCUCGCGCUAUAGGGUUGGCCGAUGGCUGAUUAGCUAGUUGGUGGGGUAAAGGCCUACCAAGGCGACGAUCAGUAGCUGGUCUGAGAGGACGACCAGCCACACUGGGACUGAGACACGGCCCAGACUCCUACGGGAGGCAGCAGUGGGGAAUUUUGGACAAUGGGCGAAAGCCUGAUCCAGCAAUGCCGCGUGUGUGAAGAAGGCCUUCGGGUUGUAAAGCACUUUUGUCCGGAAAGAAAUCCUUGGCCCUAAUACGGUCGGGGGAUGACGGUACCGGAAGAAUAAGCACCGGCUAACUACGU
This 485-nucleotide ribosomal RNA is filed under the name uncultured bacterium. RNAcentral describes it as "partial 16S ribosomal RNA". It matches the Rfam family "Bacterial small subunit ribosomal RNA", at positions 30 to 506 of the family's 1533-position model. The record is from RNAcentral.